ACUCCUACGGGAGGCAGCAGUGGGGAAUAUUGGACAAUGGGCGCAAGCCUGAUCCAGCCAUGCCGCGUGUGUGAAGAAGGCCUUCGGGUUGUAAAGCACUUUCAGCGAGGAGGAAGGGAUGUAUGUUAAUAGCAUGCAUUUUUGACGUUACUCGCAGAAGAAGCACCGGCUAACUCUGUGCCAGCAGCCGCGGUAAUACAGAGGGUGCAAGCGUUAAUCGGAAUUACUGGGCGUAAAGCGCACGUAGGCGGUUGUUUAAGUUGGAUGUGAAAGCCCCGGGCUCAACCUGGGAAUUGCAUUCAAAACUGGACAACUAGAGUGUGUGANAGGGGGUUAGAAUUCCAAGUGUAGCGGUGAAAUGCGUAGAGAUUUGGAGGAAUACCAGUGGCGAAGGCGGCCCCCUGGCACAACACUGACGCUCAGGUGCGAAAGCGUGGGGAGCAAACAGGAUUAGAUACCCUGGUAGCGUCGUCU
RNAcentral lists this ribosomal RNA (474 nucleotides) under uncultured bacterium. RNAcentral describes it as "bacterial SSU rRNA". It matches the Rfam family "Bacterial small subunit ribosomal RNA", at positions 335 to 802 of the family's 1533-position model. The record is from RNAcentral.